AUGUUUCAACCUUCGAUUUCGACGAUGUUCUUCCUUUAUAGAGCUUUGAUGUUUACGAAUCAACCUUCUUCGAGUUUCAUCAUCAUCUCAAUAGCGAUGUUGAUGUCUCCGUCUUACCCAAUCAAUACAAAACCGUCGUGGAUUCGUCGUGUUCAAUGCAGCUUCGUCUUUUUCUCAGUAUCACCGCAUCUCCAUGAGAUUUCAUCCGUUCUCACUUCUGAUUCUACUUCUUCGCUUGAUUUUGUUUCAAACUCGCUGUUAACUGCUUUCCAUUCUCGAAAACAAACUCAUGUGGUAAUCAGAAACAAAUGA
Vicia faba (fava bean) is the source of this 312-nucleotide non-coding RNA. Lineage: Eukaryota; Viridiplantae; Streptophyta; Magnoliopsida; Fabales; Fabaceae. The record is from the annotation of a GenBank genome assembly.